GAUAAACGCUGGCGGCGUGCAUGAGACAUGCAAGUCGAACGGGUGACUCGGGCUUGCUCGAGUCGCUAGUGGCGGACGGCUGAGUAACGCGUAGGUGACCUGUCCCGAAGUGGGGAAUAACUGCCCGAAAGGGUGGCUAAUACCGCAUGUGUCCACAUGUUCGAUCAUGUGAGUAAAGCCGCAAGGCGCUUCGGGAGGGGCCUGCGUCCGAUUAGCUCGNGGUGGGGUAACGGCUCACCAAGGCGACGAUCGGUAGGUGGUCUGAGAGGACGAUCACCCAGACUGGGACUGAGACACGGCCCAGACUCCUACGGGAGGCAGCAGUCGGGAAUUUUGCUCAAUGGGCGCAAGCCUGAAGCAG
This 361-nucleotide ribosomal RNA is filed under the name uncultured bacterium. RNAcentral describes it as "bacterial SSU rRNA". It matches the Rfam family "Bacterial small subunit ribosomal RNA", at positions 28 to 391 of the family's 1533-position model. The record is from RNAcentral.